This 405-nucleotide ribosomal RNA is filed under the name uncultured bacterium. Its description in RNAcentral is "bacterial SSU rRNA". It matches the Rfam family "Bacterial small subunit ribosomal RNA", at positions 354 to 776 of the family's 1533-position model. The record is from RNAcentral.
GUGGGGAAUAUUGCACAAUGGGGGAAACCCUGAUGCAGCGACGCCGCGUGAAGGAAGAAGUAUUUCGGUAUGUAAACUUCUAUCAGCAGGGAAGAAAAUGACGGUACCUGACUAAGAAGCCCCGGCUAACUACGUGCCAGCAGCCGCGGUAAUACGUAGGGGGCAAGCGUUAUCCGGAUUUACUGGGUGUAAAGGGAGCGUAGACGGCAUGGCAAGUCUGAUGUGAAAACUUGGGGCUCAACCCCAAGACUGCAUUGGAAACUGUUAAGCUAGAGUGCAGGAGAGGUAAGCGGAAUUCCUAGUGUAGCGGUGAAAUGCGUAGAUAUUAGGAGGAACACCAGUGGCGAAGGCGGCUUACUGGACUGUAACUGACGUUGAGGCUCGAAAGCGUGGGGAGCAAACAGG